UUCACGACACAUCGCAUAGGAAUUUAAAAUAAAUAUUAGGCCUAUAGGUUUAAUACAUAUUGCAUAGAAUAUAGAAAUUUAGAUCUAGUGUUCUGAUUAGUAGUUAUUUCAUGUUUAUUAGAUUAUAGUCUAGAAUCUAAUCAUACGGCUGCAUAAAAAGAAAGUUUGAAGGAAAUAGAAUAGGAAUCUAGAGAAGCGGAGUGUUUUCCGCACUCGAGAGGAAAGAGGUUGCAGGGAACUUAGAGACUAAUCUUUGCCAACAUACUGGAUUUCUGGUGAUGACAAUAGCAGCAGAUAGUAUGCGGCUCAGUUAAUACUAAAAACAAUUGAUUUUACUAAUUAGUGGACUAUGAGUGUGUGUUUGGCCAUCCUGAUUUCAUAACUACAACUGAUGUUCAAUUACAAGGGAUAUUAAUCAGUCUCCGUGGACUAUACACUGUGCCUAGUUUCAUCCUCAGAGACUGAUGUGUAAGCUUAAAGUAAAGACAUCAAAUCAAAGUAUCAGCCAUCAAGAGGAAAAACAUUCAAAAUCAUAUUGUGAUACACAAGUCAAGCAAGUCUGACCAGCAUUUUGAUACAGGCCAAGAAAAAGCUGGAUACUUGAUUGGAAGGGUUGCACAAAAAACAUGGAUUAUCACUAGGGAAACAAGCUCGCAAUACAGUUCACUGUUAGG
Physella acuta is the source of this 674-nucleotide long non-coding RNA. RefSeq lists it as uncharacterized. The record is from RefSeq and is a predicted model, not a curated record. Lineage: Eukaryota; Metazoa; Mollusca; Gastropoda; Physidae.